GCCAGGCGUGGUGGUGCACACCUGUAGUCCCAGCUACUUGGGAGGCUGAGGCAGAAGAAUCACUUGGACACGGGAGUCGGAGGUUGCAGUGAGCCAGUAUCGCGCCACUGCACUCCAGCCUGGGUGACAAAGUGAGACUCUGUCUCAA
RNAcentral lists this non-coding RNA (148 nucleotides) under Pan troglodytes (chimpanzee). The record is from Rfam by way of RNAcentral. Lineage: Eukaryota; Metazoa; Chordata; Mammalia; Primates; Hominidae.